This 577-nucleotide ribosomal RNA is filed under the name uncultured Gammaproteobacteria bacterium. RNAcentral's name for it is "bacterial SSU rRNA". It matches the Rfam family "Bacterial small subunit ribosomal RNA", at positions 346 to 916 of the family's 1533-position model. Lineage: Bacteria; Pseudomonadati; Pseudomonadota; Gammaproteobacteria. The record is from RNAcentral.
AGGCUUCAUUGGGGAAUAUCCUCACUAUGGGCGAAAGCCUGAUCCAGCAAUGCCGCGUGUGUGAUGAAAGCCUGCGGGCUGGAAAGCACUUUCCGUGGAGAAGAAAAGCUUAAGGCGAAUACCCUUGAGUCUUGACUUAACCUACAGAAAAAGCACCGGCUAACUCCGUGCCAGCAGCCGCGGUAAUAAGGAGGGAGCGAGCGUUAACCCGAAUUACUGGGCGUAAAGCGCGCGUAGGCGGGUCUGUUAAUCGGAUGUGAAGACCCUGGGCUUAACCCGGGAAUUGCGUUCCAUACUGCAGAGAAUCCCCUAUGGUACAGGGAAUUGGAAUUUCCGGUGUAGCGGUGAAAUGCGUAGAUAACGGAAGGAGCACCAGAGCUGAAAGGACUUCCCGGGCCAAUACUGACGCUGAGGUGCGAAAGCUUGGGGAGUAAACACGAUUAGAUACCCUGAUAUUCCACGCCGUACCAAUGAGAACUAGAUGUCGGGAGGAUCUACCCUUUCCGCGCCACAACUAAACGUGAAGUUCACUUCUGCGGAGUACGCUGGCAACAACAAAAUUCUAAUGAAUUGAGGG